This 1776-nucleotide ribosomal RNA is filed under the name Bacillota bacterium. Its description in RNAcentral is "partial 23S ribosomal RNA". It matches the Rfam family "Bacterial large subunit ribosomal RNA", at positions 1 to 1862 of the family's 2925-position model. Lineage: Bacteria; Bacillati; Bacillota. The record is from RNAcentral.
GGUUAAGCUAAUAAGAGCGCAGGGUGAAUGCCUUGGCGUUAGGAGCCGAAGAAGGACGCGGUCAGCUGCGAAAAGCUGCGGGGAGUUGCAAGCAAACUGUGAUCCGCAGAUAUCCGAAUGGAGCAAUCUGUUAAGUAGAACUUAACAUCGUAUACUGAAUCAAAUAGGUAUACGAGGGUAACCGCCUGAACUGAAACAUCUAAGUAGGGCGAGGAAAAGAAAUCAACCGAGAUUCCGUUAGUAGUGGCGAGCGAAAGCGGAAGAGGCCAAACCGAGUGUAGCAAUACGUUCGGGGUUUAGGACUGCAUAAAGCAUUGAGAAGACUUAGCUGAAGUGGAUGGGAAGCCACAUCAUAGAGCGUGAGAGUCGCGUAAGCGAAAAGUCCGAUCAGCCGGCAGGAUCCAGAGUACCGCGGGACACGAGAAAUCCCGUGGGAAGAUGGGGGGACCACCCUCCAAGCCUAAAUACUACCUAACGACCGAUAGCGAAUAGUACUGUGAAGGAACGGUGAAAAGUACCCCGGGAGGGGAGUGAAAUAGCACCUGAAACCCUGUGCUUACAAGCACAUAGAGCACGUCAAUGUGUGAUAUGGUACCUUUUGUAGAAUGGUCCGGCGAGUUAUUGUAUGCAGCGAGGUUAAGGACUUAAGGUCCGGAGCCGUAGCGAGAGCGAGUCUGAAUAGGGCGAAUUAGUUGCAUGCAAUAGACCCGAAACCGAGUGACCUAUCCAUGUCCAGGCUGAAGUGGAGGUAAAGCUCCAUGGAGGGCCGAACGCACGCCUGUUGAAAUAGUCGGCGAUGAGGUGUGGAUAGCGGAGAAAUUCCAAACGAACUCGGAUAUAGCUGGUUCUCUCCGAAAUAGCUUUAGGGCUAGCCUCAUGACAGAUUACCGGAGGUAAAGCACUGAUUGAGCUAGGGGGCGAAAGCCUACCGACCUCUCUCAAACUCUGAAUGCCGGAUAAUCGAUUCAUGGGAGUCAGACAGUGUGUUAUAAAGCUCAUUGUCAAAAGGGAAACAGCCCAGACCCACAGCUAAGGUCCCUAAGAACUGUUAAGUGGAAAAGGAUGUGGAAUUGCGUAAACAACCAGGAUGUUGGCUUAGAAGCAGCCACUCAUUAAAAGAGUGCGUAAUAGCUCACUGGUCGAGUGACUCUGCGCCGAAAAUUCAACGGGGCUAAACAGUUUACCGAAGCUUGGGAUUCAGUCUUAAUGACUGAGUGGUAGGAGAGCGUCGAAUAAGGGGUGAAGUCAGAGCGGAAGCGCUGGUGGACUUUAUUCGAGUGAGAAUGCCGGAAUGAGUAGCGAGAAUUAUGUGAGAAUCAUAAUGGCCGAAAAUCUAAGGUUUUAGGAGGAAGGUUCGUCCGCUCCUAGUUAGCCGGAAGCUAAGACGAGGCGGAAACGCGUAGCCGAUGCACAUACGGUAGACAUUCCGUAGCCGCUAAAAAACUUAAACCAAGGGACACAUGUGAAGGGACUAGCCGGAGAUUGGUUGAUCCGGUCGAAAGGGACACGAUUGAGUGGAAGUAGUUUUGGAACAUGGCGAGAAAAGCUUGGCGUAUGUUUGCAGCGUCCGUACCGCAAACCGACACAGGUAGAUAGGAAGAGGAUUCCAAGGCCAGCGAGAGAAGGGUUGUCAAGGAACUCGGCAAGUUGACCCCGUAACUUCGGAAUAAGGGGUACUCAAGAGAUUGAGUCGCAGUGAAUAGGCCCAGGCAACUGUUUAUCAAAAACACAGGUCUAUGCUAAAUCGAAAGAUGACGUAUAUGGGCUGACGCCUGC